This 252-nucleotide ribosomal RNA is filed under the name uncultured bacterium. RNAcentral's name for it is "partial 16S ribosomal RNA". It matches the Rfam family "Bacterial small subunit ribosomal RNA", at positions 524 to 776 of the family's 1533-position model. The record is from RNAcentral.
UACGGAGGGUGCUAGCGUUGUUCGGAAUCACUGGGCGUAAAGGGCGUGUAGGCGGUCUGUUAAGUCUGAUGUGAAAUCCCCUCGCUCAACGAGGGAACUGCGUCGGAUACUGGCAGACUCGAGUACCGGAGAGGAAGGUGGAAUUCCCGGUGUAGCGGUGAAAUGCGUUGAUAUCGGAAGGAACGCCGGUGGCGAAAGCGGUCCGCUGGGUCCCUACUGACGCUGAGGCGCGAAAGCCGGGGAGCGAACGGG